Molecule: long non-coding RNA, 3887 nt
Organism: Pan troglodytes (chimpanzee)
Lineage: Eukaryota; Metazoa; Chordata; Mammalia; Primates; Hominidae
Exons: 3
Source: RefSeq, a predicted model, not a curated record
UCUUUGCAGAUCUUUCCUUUCUACUGCCAUUGUUAUCACUCAUCUGUAUUAUUUCAUCAGCCUCAGAAAUCGGACACUGUGAGUGGUAGUUUAUGUGUCAACUUGACCGGGCCAUCGGAUGCUUAGAGAGUUGAUUACAAAUUAUUCUAGGUGUUUCUGUGAGGGUGGUUUUUGAAUUCAAGAUGAUAGCCCUGUAUGAUAUGGGCAGCCUCAUCUAAUCGGUUGAGGGUUUGACUCUGACAAAAGGCUGACCUUCCCUGAAUGAGAGAGAAGUCUUCCCCUCUGACUGCCUUCUAACUGGGACACAGGCUUUCUUCUUGCUUUCACACUCCAACUGAUACAUCAGUUCUUUCCGAGUCUCUAGUCUGCUGGCCUUUGGACUAGAGCUUUACCGUAGACUCUCCUGGUUCUCAGGCCUUCUGACUGAGAUUGGAACUAAACCAUCAGCUCACCUGGGCCUCCAGCUUGCUGACCUGCCCUCGAGUUCUUCAUAAUUCCAUGAGGUUUCCUAUUUAAUUUUCGAUACGGUGAAGGCAGAGACUGUUGCUCUCUUUAAAGUUACCCAUGGGACAUGCUAGAAAGGUUUGUGGAAAAGACAGGGUCUCGCUCUGUUUCUGAGGCUGUAGUGAAGUGGCAGAAUCAUAGCUCUCUGUAACCUUGCACUCCUGGGCUCAAGCAAUCCUGAUACCUCAGCCUCCCGAGUAGCUGGGACUAUAGGAAUACGCCACUGUACCUGGCACUCCAUAUUUUUCUAAAUGUUUGUUUCAGAUGAUGUUCUACCCAUAACAUACUCACUCAGUACCACAAAUUACUAUUUGAUAUUUUGUUUUCACAUUAAAAUUGUCUUUAUGAAAAACAAAUAGAACUGAAUUUUGUCAAGUCUUAAAAGUGAUCUCUAGAAUGCCUCUGUAUUCCAUUUGCAAAUAUGUACUACCAAGACUUUAUUUUGAGAAUUUUACUAUGAAAGCCUUUACAUGCGGUUAUCAAAGCGGUAAAUGAAAUAGGAUGUGCAGAAAAAGAAAACAUAAUAAUAGUAAUAAUAAUCAUAACAACAGCUCAAAGAGAGGUCUGGUCUUCGUUUUUAGUUACUUGGAAGUAACUUCUAAACCCUUGGAAUUUUGAGAGUGAUUGGAAUGUCUUUGUUAUUCAUGGUAAUCCCCUGGUACCACAUCUUAUAAUUAAUGCCAAUGAGAUGACUCAGAAAGGAGCAAGCCAUGCCAGAAAGACAAAACGUAUGAUUGUAGUUUUGUCUAGUUUUGGAGUUUGGGGCCAAGUGAUAUCAGCCUGACCUCCCAGGAUUGGGGUGCUAGAGAUCGAGCUCAACCGUGUGGAUGAUGAUUCCAUUAAUCCUGACUAUGUAAUGAAACCCCAAUAAAAUCACUAGCCCCUAGAGACUCUGAUGAGCUUUCUGGGUUGCCAGUACUCUGUGCAUAUUGUCACACAUCUAUCUAUUUGUAGAGCUUAAUGCACGCCUGAUGCAAAGACAGAUUCAAGUUUUGGGAUCCUCCCAGUUUCCAUCCUACGCAUUUUUUUCUUUAGAUGGUUCUAAUUUGUAUCCUUUGCUAUAAUAAAACUGUAAUUGUAAAUACAGCACUUCCUGAGUUCUAUGACUUGUUUUAGUGAACUGUUAAACCUGAGGGUGGUUGUGGGAAUCCCCAAAUGUGUAGCCAGCUGGUCUGAAGUGAGGGUGGCUCUGGAAACUCCCAAACUGUCAGUUAGUGUCUGAACUGAAGGUGAUAUUGUGGGGACAGUUCUCUUAAACUUCACAGUUGGACAGUCUCAUUGAGUUGGCGUCUUAAACAAAUUUGACAGUUGGAGAACUGUGCCUUUAACCUUGAGUUAUGCUAACUCUGGAUAGAAAACGAAGUCUUAGAUUUUUUAGUAGUUUGCUCCAAAUCUUCUAAUAUCUGGAGAAUUUGAGAUCUGAAUUUGAGACCCUGCAGGGUGAUCUGAUUCCAGGAUCCAUCCAAGAACUUUAAGCUGUUUUAGAAAACUGCAGAAUAAAAAGAUAGUUUGGAUUCCCCCUGAAGACCUUGAGACAAAGAUAUAAGUGAAAAUAGUGGUUUUGGGAGGUGCAAUAAAUAACAGUUGGAGGAUGGAGAAUUCAGCCAGAAAGAAAAGGCAGCCAGUGUUAUGUGUUAUCCAGACAACUAUCAUUGCAGGUGAUUGGAGCUUACUCCAUCUGGGGAACUGUGAGUAAGGGUAAAACACGUGCCAUCUGGGUGUGAGAGAGCUGUGACAUUGACAUUCCAAUGUAGUCUGUGGUUGAGGACAAAGAUUCAGGGAAAAGGGUGAAUUUUAUUUCCCUGGCACUUCUAGACGACACAAUGCACAGACAGAGUGCUUGCCAAACGUUUGGGAGAAAGCUGUUUAACAAGCAUAUGCAGUUAUUAGCAGAUGGAAAUCUAGGCUUUUGGGGAUUGGGCACACUGAAAUAGCAAGGCCUGAGGGAUAUGAGCAUGCACAGACAGCUCUGACAGCAAUAAUAGCAAAUACAAUAGCACUGUCUUGGAAAGUGAGGGGUUAGAAUAACAAACUACACCAGACUGAAGCCUCUGCUGUCAAACCUGAAAGAGAGGGGAGGCGUAUGGCUAGACAAUGCAUUGGAAUCUUCAGCCACAUCAAACAUUAGAAGUCCACAGUAAUUAAUAAGGUUAUCUGCUGUUCAAGUAUUUCUCCCUUCAAGGGUGAGGGGUUUGUUCCCUAAGCAGAUAGGAGUGCAACCUAAAGAUGCCCGCGAGGCAUCAGUCUCCACAUAUGCUUCAGUUGAAGAACACUGUGUUGUCCUGGGUUUUAAGUACUUCAGGGACAUUCUGCAUUCCAUGACUGAUCUACACAUGGAUUCUUUGAAAAUCCUUCUUAGUCCUAAAGCUCCAUGUAAGGUCAACUGUGGCUUUUGUUUGGUCUGCAUUUCAGCUCAACUUCUCUGCCUAAUCUGGCUUCUUUUUCCCCUCUUCUACAGGUGCCAAUUUCAGGAACACUCCUCUAGUAAACAUCCUGAACAAUUAUCAGCUUCCCAUAAAACCCAACUUGAAGCAAUCAGAAUACUUUAGCACUUCUUAUAAUGCUAAGUUGAGAUGGUACCAUUUCCUAAAUAUGAAGAAAAAGUAAACAUGAUUCCUGUAAAUGUCUUACAAUUUUCUGACUCUGAAAUAUUAUGUAAGAUGCUAUUCUUAUAUAAACUCAGUAGCUCCUUAUGAAAGUUAAUAAGCCAAGAUCCCAUAGGUCAAAACACAUGACUAGUGUUUAGUUAGUCAAUAGUGUUGGGGCUCAGAAAAUGAUACCUUAAGGUAUGUUGCUUUGGCAUUCUGAGUGCUUUGAAUUAAAGGAAAUUGGAAGGUCUUAGAAGCUGCCUCAGAAUCAAGGUCUCUCUGACUUUCCCUUGUUUCUCCUCCACAAGUGUGGGAGGGGCUUUCUCUGAAGUUCUAUUAUCUGAUGCAGGGAAGUUCUUCCAAAAGGAAUGCAAUUGUCUGGAACCCCUCCCUAAGAAUCUCAUCCAAAACCCAGGGAAUAUUAAUCACAGAGAGGAGAUUAAAAGUCAUCCCUGCACCCGGACUGGCUAUCACUGAUUCCCCCGGAGGCUGCCCCCAAACAAGUUUUAUCACCUGAGAGACUUUAUUUGCAUAGUAAGACAACCAGUGUUCCCCUGCAGUGCCUCCACUCUUCCUCCCACAACUUGUUGCCACCUCCCUCCAAAGCUCAAGCCGCUAUUUCUUUAUGCUUAGAAACUUCAAUCCUCUGGUCCUUUGAGUCUCGUAUUCUUCUGUGAGGUUCCUGUGUGCAUGCAUGUAGCUAACAUGCUUUUUCUCCUGCUAAUCUGUUUAUUGCUAUUUUAUUUCAGCAGACCUCAUUAUUCCUUCAGAGGGAAAGUUUAAAACUUCCCUACA